RNAcentral lists this long non-coding RNA (6150 nucleotides) under Ananas comosus (pineapple). RNAcentral's name for it is "long non-coding RNA (ACOM_LNC010112)". Lineage: Eukaryota; Viridiplantae; Streptophyta; Magnoliopsida; Poales; Bromeliaceae. The record is from RNAcentral.
AUGUGGUCGUGGAUGCGCUUAGUAGGAAGUCGGCGAAGAACCUCGCUUUCGAUGUUACCCAGCAAACACCCCUGUGGCUAGACAUGGAGCGAUUGGACCUUGAAGUGGUCGCUCCCGAGGUCCCGACUCAGUUGAUGGCACUCGUUGUCCAACCGACCUUGUUGGAGAGGAUCAAAGAUCUGCAACCCGCAGACCCAGAACUCCAAAAGGUGCAGCGAAACAUCGAGGAAGGUCAUGGCGACGAUUUCAAGGUAGACGCCGACGGUACGCUUCGGUUUCGAAACCGAUUGUAAUAUACCGAGAAUUCGGAAAAUAAAUAUCGAACUUUAGUCAAAUUGACCAAAGUGCGAGGACGGUACACUUCGGAAAGUUCGAAGGUGUUAAAAUGAGUAAAAGAGUGUUGUGGAAGGUUUUCGAGAGCUAAGAAUCAAAAUUUUGCAAACUGCAGAUUUUCAACUCUCAGGGACCGGUCCCUGGUGGGAGAGACCGGUCCCUGAACGUGUGAAAAAUGAGCGAGGCCGCAAAUCGGCUAAGUCCCUGAGAACCAGCCGAAAAUGAGGGAGGACCGCGGCAAGGGCAUCGCCCCCGAUCAGUGAGACCGUGGUAGUUAGUAGCUUUCCUUUUGCAUUAGUACACCUAUGUAUUUGAGAGAUUCAUUGUAGGUGAGGACUUGGAGAGCUAUGCAUUUUGAGAUGAAAAAUGUAUUCAUUUAAAGAGAAUGAUGUAAAUGGAAAUGAUGAAACUGUUGUAAUAGUUCGUAAAAUACUCUCUUUAUUUCACAUGUACAUCUUGUGGAUUACUUGCUCUUUGUAUUGUUGGCACUGUUUGUGUCCUUGUGAAUGUGUAUGUUUAGAAUUUAAGUUCCCAGGUAAAUUCUUGUACACAUUCUUGUUGUUGAGCCUUGGACGGACAGGGGAGAUGCUGUCCGUUCGGCAGUCCGCCGCCGCGGCCGAACCGUGCCAAAUUGGUAGUGGGUUUCAGGGCGGGGCGUGACGGUGCCAUAAGCACCAUCGAUGCCGAGUAUCAGGAAAGACACGUGUGAUAGCAUUUUGCAUCGCUUUAUCUUGAUCUGUGAUUAUUGCUUUGGGGGCACGCUCGGACAUGCAUGACAACCAAUUCCGAAAGAGCCAUACAAACGAUUCUAUAUCUUCAGUGGAGAGUAAGCCGCAUCCCAACAAGAUCGACUAUCCAUGAUGGUUAACACCAACGAGAGGGACAAUUGGCAUAUCGUAUUUAUUUGUUAGAUAUGUCGAGUCGAAAGUAAUUACAUCUCCGAAACUUUCAUACGCCGCUCUACUCCGAGCAUCUGCCCAAAAGACAUUGCGAAGCCGAGAAUCAUCGUCUAGAUCUAUGGCAUAAAAAGAGUUUCCAUUUCUCUCUUGCAUUUCUCUAAAAUAAUUACAAAUUGCCUCGCCGUCACCUUCACCAAGUCGUAGCCGACGGACUUUUUCAAUAUAAUUACGAGCAUCCUUCUCUCCAAAUGUUAAGUUUUCAUACCCACCAGCUUCAACAGCAAUAGAAUUAAAAUUUUUGUUCAAUCUGAUCUAGCACGAUCAUUAAUAUCAAGCCGCCUCUUGAUGCUCGGAUCUAUAAUUCGAUUGCAGGGAAAAAAUUGAGACUUAUAAGGACUUAGGAUGUGAUUAUGCUCAAGUACAAUUUUACUUAUUACACAAGAUAAAUCCGCAUUUAUUACUACAUUUAUCCUCGCAAGACAGUUCGUCUUUACUACCGAUGGACGAGGACGAAGAUUCGUCACGGUCCGAUUCAUUUUUCCAUGACGAGAGCAUGCGAUUAUUACAUACGUAGCCUUGCCAUCAGUCAUUUUAGUUGUCCUCUUUACAACUCCAAAUCCUAAUUCCUGUGCGUAAUGCUUAUAGAAAUUAAAAACGGCUUCAAAAUUGAUAAAAGACAUUCUAAUUUCUGGUGCCGAAAUAUUUACAUCUCUGACCUCACUGUUUCUUUCUUCAUCCAUCUCCAAAAUGUUCAAUUCAAAUAAUCAGUUAACUCAGAAAUUUAACAAAAUUGCUCACCUAUAAGACAUCACAUGCAGUCGAAAUAUAUAAUUGGAAUAAUGGUGACCAGGCAAACUAUUUAUCAAAAUCAAUACAUCUAAAUUAAUAAUGUAUACACCACAUUCUACUAUACCCUAAAAAUGAAUCAUUGUGGCAUAACAAAAUAAUACAAGUAUUUUAUUAUAAGUACAUCCUAAACGUUUUAGUUAGUGCAUGACAAAUGUGAAGACAAAGAACUCCAAUAAGAUAGUCGCAACUUAUCAGUCUUAUUCUUAAGACUGAUAAGAUAAUACUCACUUGAAUUACAAGCCAUUCAUACAUCAUAUAAAAGAGACAUAAGUUUUUGCAGCUCAAGGACAAGCAUCAUAUACUGGAAGUAAUUGGACAGUGUGGACCAGAAGUAAUGAAUCGCAGCUAGUAAACUGAGCACACUUGGACAACAAUUAUGCAUAAGAGACGAACAGUUGGACUUUCAUGUUAUAUAGAAUAUUACUGAUCAACCUAUAUGAACUGGCUAGUGAAUUGGCCUCGCUAGUUCCAAGAUAAUAAUAUUUCAGCAUCAAUACAGGAAGGGCAAUAAAUUUGCAAAAUCAACUUUGAGAAAUCACAUAUAUACUUUAUUUACGAUGCAUCUAAACAAAUGUAAGUAAAACAAUGGUGACAAAGGCCAAGUUCAUUAAAUGUGCUUCAGUAGUAAACUAGUUAGUUGUCAUUGUCAUUAGGACUGAAACUCUUAAAUUCAAAACUUUUUUCAACCUAUGAGUAAACUGCACCACGGGAUCUCAACCUUUUAGCAUAGUUUUACUUUGGUCACGAACCUUUCAAUUGUUAAAUUGGAACUCUAGCAUUUGUGUUGUGUCCCAAUUUUACCUUUUUCACUUAAAUUCCUCCAUCUUCUCACGUUCAUCAUUACUUAUACACUCAACGGUAUAACAACAUAAAAAAAGAAACCAGUUUCAUUAAACAUUAAAGAUCACUAAUUCUCUGCGAUCAAAUGCUUACAACAUCACAAUCAACUAAUCCGUAAUAACUACAACAUGAACCCAAGUCACACACAUCCACUAAGAAAUAGAGAGGGGAGAUUUACCAAAUGCAAGAUGCUAAUCAAGGCGCCAUCCGCAUCCGGCCACUUGGACACCAAAUCAAACACGAAGUUCCCCUCGCCAACGACGACUCUGCAAGAAGCAUCGCUCUGAAUCCCACCUAAUCUCAAACCAGUGCUUCCCCUUUCAGAAACUACGAGUCAAAGACGAAGUUCCCCUCACUCUCGCUCUCGCUUUCUCUCGCGGAGGUCAUCUCUGUCUCGCUCAAGUUCUCCUCUCUCUCGCUCUAUCGCUCGCAGGCCUCUCUCUCUAGCUCGCAGGCGCCAGAAAAGGGGAGUGAGGCGCCCCUCUCUCGCUCUUUAAGGAAGUGAAUUCUCGAAAUCCGAGGAUUGUACUUCAUCCAGGGUCGACUAACUGUCGAGAGAAUACCCAUUGUGGGAGUUAAAAAAUGUCCAAAACAUAAGAAGUGCUUUGGAGUUAAGUCCGCGAGAGCAAAUAGGCAAAAUCUGGACUCAGCAAAUAGGCAAAAAUGUCCAAAACACAAGGAUGACCGGGACCGGGCCGAGUGGUUCUUGUGAGGACUUCGGCCGGGAAUUUAUAAGGCCGUGCAAAUACUCAAGCUCACGACCUUUGCAGAAGUCUUCGAUCGAGCACUAUGGGCGGAGCACGGAGAUGCCCAUGUUCGGGAGAAGCAUGAGCUUUUGGCCGAGUCUAAGGACAAGGGCAAGAAACGCCAAGGUGGCAGUAGUUCGGGGGACAAACACGUUACAAGAAACCCCCGAAGUAUCCGCGCACUCAACAGAAGGGCGGUGGAGCGCGGCGAUGCAUUGUAUGCUGCAGAGACCACCCGGUCUCGCGCUGUGAGCAAGGCCGAGGCAAGUGCUACAAGUGUGGGCAACCGGGGCACUUCAUUCGGGACUGCCCGGGAGGAGGAGCCUCACCUGCCCCAUCGAUUGCAUCGGCGCCGGCGAUCCCGACUCAUUAUGGAGGAGUUCCACCGACGGUCGCAUCGACGGGACGCGCGAUGAUGCCGCGUCAACCCAAAGUGACGCGAUCGGCCCCGAGCGGACGGGUGUUCGCCGCUCAGGUCCAAGCUGAGGAACCUGCGGAGGCAGAGGAGCAUCGCCUUGUGGCAGGUAUGGUUUUAAUUAACGGAGUUCGCUCCAGGGCUUUAUUUGAUACAGGAGCCACGCAUUCAUUCAUAAGUAGAUCAUUCGCACGCAUGCAUGACAUACUCAUUGAAGCGCGUGACAAGUGGCGAGUGGAGGGCCCUAGGUCAACGUUUAACACUUACUCGGAGUGUGCGUCGUGUCUCGUACAAAUAGGCGACUGGAUUAUGCCUAUCCGGACACUAGAACUCACAAAGCUUGAGGAUUAUGACGUCAUUCUGGGCAUGGACUGGCUCUCGAAGUACCACGCAACGAUCGACUGCAAGAGCAGGGUGAUCACAUUCUGUGAGCCAGGACAAGAGGAGUUCACAUAUCGGGCUUGUCAAAGCUCAUGCUUCGUCGCGACGGUGUCGGUGACGAGGGCAAGGAAGUUGGUUAACAGCGGUUGCACGGCAUUCUUAGCGACUGUUGUGGAAAUGGAACGAGUAGCUCCAACGUUAGAGGAGCUAUCGGUGGUGCGGGAGUUCCCGGACGUAUUUCCUGCGGAGUUGCCGUGGAUACCACCAGAUCGGGAGAUCGAGUUCGUCAUAGACUUGGUUCCCGGUACCGCACCGAUCUCGAAGGCUCCGUACCGAAUGGCGCCGGCGGAAUUGAAAGAGUUGAGGAGUCAACUGCAAGACCUCCUCGACAAGCAAUUUAUCCGGCCAAGUGUAUCACCGUGGGGAGCCCCGGUGUUGUUCGUACGGAAGAGGGACGGAUCGUUCCAACUCUGCGUGGAUUAUUGAGAAUUGAACAAAGUCACGAUCAAGAACAAGUACCCGCUACCCCGAAUCGAUGACUUGUUCGAUCAGUUGCAGGGGUCGUGUGUGUACUCGAAGAUAGAUUUGCAGUCCGGCUACCACCAACUAAAGAUCAAGCCGGAGGAUGUGCAGAAAACUGCGUUUCGUACGCGAUAUGGACACUACGAAUUCACGGUCAUGCCAUUUGGACUCACGAAUGCUCCAGCGGCAUUUAUGGAUUUGAUGAACCGUGUCUUAAGAAAAUAUUUGAAUCGAUUUAUCAUGGUCUUCAUAGACGACAUAUUAGUCUACUCUCGUAAUGACGAGGAACAUACCGAGCAUUUGAGAAUAGUGCUUCAAGUCCUUCGGGAGGAGAAGCUAUAUGCUAAGCUGAAGAAGUGUAACUUCUGGCUCCGCGAGGUCGCCUUCUUAGGGCAUGUAAUUUCCGCGGGUGGAGUUUCUGUAGACCCGAGGAAAGUUGAGACAAUCAAGGAUUGACCGCGCCCGACGAAUGUCACGGAGGUUCGAAGCUUCGUGGGCUUGGCGGGCUAUUAUAGGCGGUUUGUGGAAGGCUUUUCCAAGAUAAUGAUUCCACUUACCCGCCUGACUAAGAAAGGCACCAAGUUUGUUUGGAGCGAAGAGUGCGACCGAAGUUUCAAAGAGUUGAAGCAAAGAUUGACUUCGACUCCGGUGAGAGCUCUACCGGUACAGGACGAAGACUUCAUGGUCUACAGUGAUGCCUCCUAUCUUGGAUUGGGGUGUGUAUUAUUGCAAAACGGGAAAGUGAUCGCUUAUGCAUCCCAUCAGCUGAAGAGCUAUGAAAAGAACUACCCCAUCCAUGAUUUGGAGCUAGCAGCGGUGAUUUUUCGCCUUGAAGCUGUGGAGGCACUACUUAUAUGGUGCCCAUUGUGAGAUCUAUACCGACCAUAAGAGCUUGAAGUACCUGUUUACACAGAAGGAGCUCAACAUGCGUCAGCGGCGGUUGUUGGAGCUGUUAAAGGAUGUGGUCGCGGACGCACUUAGUAGGAAGUCGGCGAAGAACCUCGCUUUUGAUGUUACCCAGCAAACACCCCUAUGGCUGGAUAUGGAGCGAUUGGACCUUGAAGUGGUCGCUCCCGAGGUCCCGACUCAGUUGAUGGCACUCGUUGUCCAACCGACCUUGUUGGAGAGGAUCAAAGAUCUGCAACCCGCAGACCCCGAACUCCAA